This 467-nucleotide ribosomal RNA is filed under the name uncultured bacterium. RNAcentral's name for it is "partial 16S ribosomal RNA". It matches the Rfam family "Bacterial small subunit ribosomal RNA", at positions 28 to 507 of the family's 1533-position model. The record is from RNAcentral.
GAUGAACGCUGGCGGCGUGCUUAACACAUGCAAGUCGAACGGAAAGGCCGAAGCUUGCUUCGGUACUCGAGUGGCGAACGGGUGAGUAACACGUGGGUGAUCUGCCCUGUACUUCGGGAUAAGCUUGGGAAACUGGGUCUACUACCGGAUAUGACAAUCUCUUGGAUGGGGUUGUGGAAAGCUUUUGCGGUAUGGGAUGAGCUCGCGGCCUAUCAGCUUGUUGGUGGGGUAAUGGCCUACCAAGGCGUCGACGGGUAGCCGGCCUGAGAGGGUGUACGGCCACAGUGGGACUGAGAUACGGCCCAGACUCCUACGGGAGGCAGCAGUGGGGAAUAUUGCACAAUGGGCGCAAGCCUGAUGCAGCGACGCCGCGUGGGGGAUGACGGCCUUCGGGUUGUAAACUCCUUUCGCAACCGACGAAGCUUUUUGUGACGGUAGGUUGAGAAGAAGCACCGGCUAACUACGUG